This 499-nucleotide ribosomal RNA is filed under the name uncultured bacterium. Its description in RNAcentral is "partial 16S ribosomal RNA". It matches the Rfam family "Bacterial small subunit ribosomal RNA", at positions 28 to 507 of the family's 1533-position model. The record is from RNAcentral.
GACGAACGCUGGCGGCGUGCCUAAUACAUGCAAGUCGAGCGGACUGAAUGGGAGCUUGCUCUUGUUCGGUCAGCGGCGGACGGGUGAGUAACACGUGGGCAACCUGCCCGCAAGACCGGGAUAACUCCGGGAAACCGGAGCUAAUACCGGAUAACACCGAAGACCGCAUGGUCUUUGGUUGAAAGGCGGCGCAAGCUGCUACUUGCGGAUGGGCCCGCGGCGCAUUAGCUAGUUGGUGAGGUAACGGCUCACCAAGGCGACGAUGCGUAGCCGGCCUGUGAGGGUGACUGGGCACACUGGGACUGAAAAACGGCCCAGACUCCUACGGGGGGCAGCAGUAGGGAAUGUUCCGCAAUGGGCGGAAGCCUGAAGGCGCGACGCCGCGGGGGCGGAGGAGGCCUUCGGGUCGUAAAGCUCUGUUGUGAGGGACGGAGGAGCGCCGUUUGAAGAAGGCGGCGCGGUGACGGUACCUCACGAAGAAGCCCCGGCUAACUACGUG